Molecule: ribosomal RNA, 253 nt
Filed under: uncultured bacterium
Lineage: Bacteria
Description: partial 16S ribosomal RNA
Rfam family: Bacterial small subunit ribosomal RNA
Source: RNAcentral
UACGUAGGGUGCAAGCGUUGUCCGGAAUUAUUGGGCGUAAAGAGCUCGUAGGCGGUUUGUCGCGUCUGCUGUGAAAACCUAAGGCUCAACCUUGGGCUUGCAGUGGGUACGGGCAGACUAGAGUGCGGUAGGGGUGACUGGAAUUCCUGGUGUAGCGGUGGAAUGCGCAGAUAUCGGGAGGAACACCGAUGGCGAAGGCAGGUCACUGGGCCGCAACUGACGCUGAGGAGCGAAAGCAUGGGGAGCGAACAGG